GACGAACGCUGGCGGCGUGGAUUAGGCAUGCAAGUCGAACGGUAUCAUCCUUUCGGGGAUGAGAGAGUGGCGAACGGGUGAGUAACACGUAGGUGAUCUACCCUCAAGACGGGGACAACCCAGGGAAACUUGGGCUAAUACCGGAUGUGAGCUAUCGCGAGAUAGUUUGAAAGGUGGCUUCGGCUGCCGCUUGGGGAUGAGCCUGCGUCCUAUUAGCUAGUUGGUGAGGUAACGGCUCACCGAGGCAGUGAUAGGUAGGCGGCCUUAACGGGUGGUCGCCCACACUGGGAUUGAGAUACGGCCCAGACUCCUACGGGAGGCAGCAGUCGAGAAUAGUCUACAAUGGUCGAAAGACUGAUAGUGCGACGCCGCGUGAACGAAGAAGCCCUUCGGGUGUAAAGUUCUUUUAUAUGUGAGCAGUGACAUCUAUAUUAAUAGUAUGGGUGUAGAGAUAUUAGCAUAUGAAUAAGCAACGGCUAACUCCGUGCC
This 489-nucleotide ribosomal RNA is filed under the name uncultured bacterium. RNAcentral's name for it is "bacterial SSU rRNA". It matches the Rfam family "Bacterial small subunit ribosomal RNA", at positions 28 to 509 of the family's 1533-position model. The record is from RNAcentral.